This 449-nucleotide ribosomal RNA is filed under the name uncultured bacterium. RNAcentral's name for it is "partial 16S ribosomal RNA". It matches the Rfam family "Bacterial small subunit ribosomal RNA", at positions 29 to 523 of the family's 1533-position model. The record is from RNAcentral.
AACGAACGCUGGCGGCAUGCCUAACACAUGCAAGUCGAACGAAGGCUUCGGCCUUAGUGGCGCACGGGCGAGUAACGCGUGGGAAACUGCCUAUUGGUGGGGAAUAACGACGGGAAACUGUCGCUAAUACCGCAUAAGCCCUUCGGGGGAAAGAUUUAUCGCCGAUAGAUGUGCCCGCGUCCGAUUAGCUAGUCGGUGAGGUAAUGGCUCACCAAGGCGACGAUCGGUAGCUGGUCUGAGAGGAUGAUCAGCCACACUGGGACUGAGACACGGCCCAGACUCCUACGGGAGGCAGCAGUGGGGAAUAUUGGACAAUGGGCGAAAGCCUGAUCCAGCAAUGCCGCGUGAGUGAUGAAGGCCUUAGGGUUGUAAGGCUCUUUCGGGUGGGACGAUGAUGACGGUACCACCAGAAGAAGCCCCGGCUAACUUCGUGCCAGCAGCCGCGGUAA